This 1082-nucleotide long non-coding RNA is filed under the name Gallus gallus (chicken). Its description in RNAcentral is "lncRNA (ENSGALG00010009265.1)". Lineage: Eukaryota; Metazoa; Chordata; Aves; Galliformes; Phasianidae. The record is from RNAcentral.
AGCUACUGCCCAUCCUGUGAUGCUGAGAAGCUAUGAAAUAUAUUUUCUUACUACCCCCUGGAGAUGACCACUGUCAUGUGAAGCAUUCUCAUCUUAUCCAUCCAAGUACUGUGGGCUGAAACAAGGAUGAAAUACAACAGGACCUAUGAAUAUUUAAAAAAUACAACUCCCUAGAUGGGAGAAAAUACUCAGAUAAGUCAUGUACUUUAUUGCAAGACUGGAAGAUGUCAGUCCUAUGAGAAGACCAGAUAGUGUAUUAUUUCCACCCAGAGGAAUUCUCUUGUUUCCAGCUUUCCAUUCUUCCAGAUACCAUCACCAAGGCAGAGAGCAUCCCCCAUGGACUGGGGCUGAUGCCACACUACACUCUUUGCAUGCUUAACAACACUUUGAAGAUGUGAGGUAUAACUCUUACUAUUGUUUUAUUGUUUUGUGAUGGACUUGUGAUACUCAUGUGACCCACUGAUAAGUCACACACUGUGCAAACAGUCAUUCGUAUAUCACCAGAAACACUCUGCAUCACUGAGAGAAAUGAGGGAGGAAUUCAGGCUCAGAAACACAGUCUCCCCUUCAUUUCCUUCUGAAGCACUAUAUCACUGCUCUGGUGAUGAUCACUCCUCCUGUGUAGACUUCUUUAAGAAAUUGUUCUGUAUCUUAGAUAUAGUUUCUAUGGUAACUGUGUAGUUUUUUUGUUUGUUUGUUUGUUUGUUUUUUAACUUAGUGGACAGUUUGGGGAUGGAGGGAAGAGGGUUUGAAUGUGACAUUGGGAAUGUAGUGAUUAAAUAAGCUGGAAAAACAAAGUAUUCUGUAUUUGAAAUAUUUAUCAGUAAACUGAAACAGCAGUUGAAGAGAGCAUCAGUCUACCUACCUGGCCUAUAAGACAAGCAGCUCAGACCUGCCGGAACUGUAGAGGAAAGCAAAGAAGAAGAAGCCCAAAGCAAGUCCAGCCACUGCUAAAAUUUUGCAGCUAGCAGUCUUUUAGAACUGGAUGCUUUUUACAGGGCCUGCAGCUUUCAUUGUUUCCUCCUGCCAAAGUUCUGACAGAGAAGAGUAUUCAGCAAAGGUUACAACAACAGAGUGUUAUU